UACGAAGGGGGCUAGCGUUGUUCGGAAUCACUGGGCGUAAAGGGCGCGUAGGCGGCCAAUCAAGUCGGGGGUGAAAGCCUGUGGCUUAACCACAGAAUUGCCUUCGAUACUGUUUGGCUUGAGACCGGAAGAGGUAAGUGGAACUGCGAGUGUAGAGGUGAAAUUCGUAGAUAUUCGCAAGAACACCAGUGGCGAAGGCGGCUUACUGGUCCGGUACUGACGCUGAGGCGCGAAAGCGUGGGGAGCAAACAGG
This 253-nucleotide ribosomal RNA is filed under the name uncultured bacterium. RNAcentral describes it as "partial 16S ribosomal RNA". It matches the Rfam family "Bacterial small subunit ribosomal RNA", at positions 524 to 776 of the family's 1533-position model. The record is from RNAcentral.